GUACUUUUGUGGUUCAUAAAUGUGAUUGGGUUUUCACGCUCAUGUGUGACAUGCCCCUUCCUCCAACCUUGUUACAAUGUUGGUGCAUUACCCAUUACCCAUCUGACA
Sapajus apella (tufted capuchin) is the source of this 108-nucleotide small nucleolar RNA. RefSeq annotates it as small nucleolar RNA U13. The record is from RefSeq and is a predicted model, not a curated record. NCBI's taxonomy places the organism in Eukaryota, Metazoa, Chordata, Mammalia, Primates, Cebidae. The transcript has a single exon.